This 483-nucleotide ribosomal RNA is filed under the name uncultured bacterium. Its description in RNAcentral is "partial 16S ribosomal RNA". It matches the Rfam family "Bacterial small subunit ribosomal RNA", at positions 30 to 506 of the family's 1533-position model. The record is from RNAcentral.
AUUGAACGCUGGCGGCAGGCCUGACACAUGCAAGUCGAGCGGAUGAAGGGAGCUUGCUCCUGGAUUCAGCGGCGGACGGGUGAGUAAUGCCUAGGAAUCUGCCUGGUAGUGGGGGAUAACGUCCGGAAACGGGCGCUAAUACCGCAUACGUCCUGAGGGAGAAAGUGGGGGAUCUUCGGACCUCACGCUAUCAGAUGAGCCUAGGUCGGAUUAGCUAGUUGGUGGGGUAAAGGCCUACCAAGGCGACGAUCCGUAACUGGUCUGAGAGGAUGAUCAGUCACACUGGAACUGAGACACGGUCCAGACUCCUACGGGAGGCAGCAGUGGGGAAUAUUGGACAAUGGGCGAAAGCCUGAUCCAGCCAUGCCGCGUGUGUGAAGAAGGUCUGCGGAUUGUAAAGCACUUUAAGUUGGGAGGAAGGGCAGUAAGUUAAUACCUUGCUGUUUUGACGUUACCAACAGAAUAAGCACCGGCUAACUUCGU